Drosophila arizonae is the source of this 99-nucleotide long non-coding RNA. Lineage: Eukaryota; Metazoa; Arthropoda; Insecta; Diptera; Drosophilidae. The record is from RefSeq and is a predicted model, not a curated record.
AUUGAGAACAUGAGAUGAACCUAUAUAUAGUUAGAUAGAGAGGGAAUUAGAGUAGCCUUUGCUUGGUAACUAUCUGCAGCCGCAUGACUCAACGACCAU